RNAcentral lists this ribosomal RNA (253 nucleotides) under uncultured bacterium. RNAcentral's name for it is "partial 16S ribosomal RNA". It matches the Rfam family "Bacterial small subunit ribosomal RNA", at positions 524 to 776 of the family's 1533-position model. The record is from RNAcentral.
UACAGGGGGGGCAAGCGUUGUUCGGAAUUACUGGGCGUAAAGGGUUCGUAGGUGGCCACUUAAGUCAGACGUGAAAUCCCUCAGCUUAACUGGGGAACUGCGUCUGAUACUGAGUGGCUUGAGUGCAGGAGAGGAACGCGGAAUUCCAGGUGUAGCGGUGAAAUGCGUAGAUAUCUGGAGGAACACCGGUGGCGAAGGCGGCGUUCUGGACUGUAACUGACACUGAGGAACGAAAGCCAGGGGAGCAAACGGG